This 227-nucleotide ribosomal RNA is filed under the name uncultured fungus. Its description in RNAcentral is "partial small subunit ribosomal RNA". The stretch from base 44 to 227 matches the Rfam family "Eukaryotic small subunit ribosomal RNA", at positions 679 to 864 of the family's 1831-position model. The record is from RNAcentral. Lineage: Eukaryota; Fungi.
GGUUAAGUAACGCUAGCCCGCCCUUGCCAGGGGUGUGCGCUGGUUAGUUGCUUGCCAUCUUUCUAGAAAGCCAGCGUUUGUCAUUCACUUGGCGGACGUGACGCGAUCUAGAUCUUUUACUUUGAAAAAAUUAGAGUGUUUAAAGCAGGCUUACGCUAUGAAUACAUUAGCAUGGAAUAAUAAUAUAGGACUUUGGUUCUAUUUUGUUGGUUUCUAGGACUGAAGUA